Herpailurus yagouaroundi (jaguarundi) is the source of this 828-nucleotide long non-coding RNA. RefSeq lists it as uncharacterized. The transcript has 4 exons. Lineage: Eukaryota; Metazoa; Chordata; Mammalia; Carnivora; Felidae. The record is from RefSeq and is a predicted model, not a curated record.
CCCGAUCCCACAAACCCGGGAUCGUGACCUGGGUCGAAACCAAGAGGCAGAUGCUCAACCCUCUGAGCCACCCAGGCGCCCCCCAGAAAGGACCUUCUAGAACUCUAAAGUAGUGUAUCCGUGUUUACUGUCCUUGCUGCCACGGGGAACACUAAUCAGGAACCCCUUCAUUAUUCCACUGGAAAAAAAGUUUAUUGCACACCUGGAUGCCUUCUACAACUAUUCCGAUGAGACUCUGGCACACGUUAUUCCCACAUUUUCCAAGGCUCUUCAGAGCUCCAAGCCCUGAGGAAUUCUGUGACUUCACACUUGCUCAAAAUAUGAAUCUGAAAAUAAAAUUAAUCUAUGGAAUAUAAAAAAGUCAGUUGAAAAGACUCAAUGACAUGGACCCUUCUGUAAGUGAGCAGCAAAGCAUUAACUGGCCUUAAGAGACUUCCAUCAGCAGCCAGGUGCCUUGCAGUUCCCGGGAGUUCUAGAUCCAAGACUCCCUCAGCACCAUCUUCCCGGAAACACUGCUUCAGGGUCAUUACCACAAAGAGAGAAGUGUUCAAAAGCACAGGAAAUUGAAGUUUGGAAAUAUCCAGUAACUUGCUGGCCCAGUGUUAUGUCAUAUGGUUGGUAAGUGGCACAGCCAGGACUUUGACCCAGGCCCCAGUCUUCCUGGUAGGUCAAGGCACUGAGCUGGAAAGACAGAUUCCAAGCGAGAUCUUUGCAUCGCUGCUCCCAAGUACCAGCUGUGGAAAAAUCUGUAACUUUUGUUACAGACAGGUGUAUUGGGCAAAGUCUGAGCCAAGCUGGCCCUGAGGUGUUAUUGUUCCUGCCCUCCAG